AUGACAUUUAUUGCACACAAUGGUGAUGAUGCGGCGCUUGCUUUGAUGUGAUUACAAUUGAAAGGAAAAGAGGAAAAUCCAUACUCGAAGUGAAAUCAACCGACGUCAGGACGCCAAGUGUUGUUUCUGUUGAACGACGGGAGCAGAACCGUUGUUUUCUCGUUGCCUCGUUGAUUGGGGGGAAAUCGGAGAAGUGAAAUAACGACAACAAAAGGAGGUUCAUAUCACGACCUCACGACGAGAAGUGUCAAAGCCUGGGUCUUCUGCUGCUGUGUGUGACGCCGAUGAAUGAGGUGAGAGUUUAAGAAGUCAUGUGAAAGCGCAGCGUAGUUGUUGCGGUGAUGCUUUUGAAGUGUGUUCAAGUCAACGAAAAAAGGUGGUGUCCUGUUUCGUGUUGUUUACGAAAAGAUUAAAAUCGGUUUUACAAGGGGCGAGAAAAGAAAAGAAGCACUAAUAGAAGGGAAGGUGUUUCGUCUGGAAUGUGGAAAAUCUGGCAAAGGGCUGUAAAAGUGCAGUGAGUCUAUGACGACAGAAAUGUUUUGAUUUUGAUUGUUUUUGAUCUUCUCUCUGAGUCGGACGAGAAGAGUUCUAACAACAACAACAAUCGUUGGUGGUUGGGGAGACGAUUUGCAAUCAGCUGGGAGACGGAAAAUUGCUGUUGGAUUGAUUGAUUUGUUCUCGUUAAAGCGCAAGGAGGUGAUUGUUAGACGGACAAUCUUUGGGAUGUCGAAAAUCGGAUGCUGAAGGCCGAUUACAUUUUCAUGUAUCGGCCACCGAGAACAGUCUUGUUUGUGGCUAUCCAGCAUGUUGCAUGCAAGUCGUAUCACACAGCAGAAACAUUUGGAUGAAUCAUAGUUAAGACAGGGGACCCGGAUAAAUGGCAAUCGAACAAUGCAACGAUCAUUGGAUUCACGACUCGGACAAAUGGACACAAUGGACUCACGGGAAGAUAGACCAGCAACGACAACAACAAUUAAUAAUGGAAAAAUAUAAAAAUAGAUUCUGUGUGAAUUCUGGCUGCAGAAUACCAUAGUAGAUCUCGCCACAGUAGCGGUUAAGUAACACAGAGUGCCUAUACCAAAUAAAGUAAGGAAUAAAA
This is a long non-coding RNA of Armigeres subalbatus, 1099 nucleotides long. RefSeq lists it as uncharacterized. NCBI's taxonomy places the organism in Eukaryota, Metazoa, Arthropoda, Insecta, Diptera, Culicidae. The transcript is spliced from 3 exons. The record is from RefSeq and is a predicted model, not a curated record.